Molecule: ribosomal RNA, 306 nt
Filed under: uncultured Peredibacter sp.
Lineage: Bacteria; Pseudomonadati; Bdellovibrionota; Bacteriovoracia; Bacteriovoracales; Bacteriovoracaceae
Description: bacterial SSU rRNA
Rfam family: Bacterial small subunit ribosomal RNA
Source: RNAcentral
GACAGGUGCUGCAUGGCUGUCGUCAGCUCGUGUUGUGAAAUGUUGGGUUAAGUCUCGCAACGAGCGCAACCCCUAUCUUUAGUUGCCAGCAUUAAGUUGGGCACUCUAGAGAGACUGCCCGGGUUAACCGGGAGGAAGGUGGGGAUGACGUCAAGUCCUCAUGGCCCUUAUGCCUAGGGCUACACACGUAAUACAAUGGUACAUACAGAGGGAUGCGAUCUGGUGACAGUAAGCAAAUCUCAAAAAGUGUAUCUCAGUCCGGAUUGGAGUCUGCAACUCGACUCCAUGAAGUUGGAAUCGCUAGUA